CCGAGGUCCUCUGCCGCGUGCACUAAAGUUAUGGCCGGUCCUGUCCGUGGUUCACUCUCUGAAAGGCCUAGGGUUUGGGUGAUGGCACGCCAUUGCACAUGGGACGCAAGCCGCAGGUUCCAUUUCAGAAGUAAUGGCUGGAUCCCUGGAAGCAGAUGGACUCGGUGUGGUUAGAGGGCAGAGGUAGAUGAUGCUGCGUAUUGAGCCCUCCUCAGCCCACUUUGAUUGAGGUGUUGCGCGGUGAGGAAGGGCCUUCGUGACCAGUCUGCAUGGGGGAGGCUGAACCAUAGUUUCUGGGCCUUCAAGGGGUGUUGCUGCAGCCACGGGGGCAGCCCUCCUGCGCCUGGACUUCUGCCUGCGAGCAGAGGAGCUUCCACACACAGCUCGUCAGAGCAUCCGUGCUUCUGCGCUAAGUGGCAGAUUCCAGGACGGCUCCAGGGGGCAUCAUCGAAAGGCGUGGCACAUCAGGGCCUUCAGGAUGGCUGCGUCCUGGUUAUUGCCCUGUGGUGCCAGAGAGAACCACACAGCCUGCUGCUGCUCCUGCCUUUAAUUUCCCAAAGAGCCAUCAAAAGACCUUGGACUUUGUUCUGCAAGAGGAGCUAGCAAAAUGGAGUGACUGUGGUCACCCUGGAAGCCUUUGACAGCUGGGGAGGCCCUGCUGAGCUUAGAAAACCAUCUGAUAGAUUUCCUGAGUAAGGAUUGGGCUUUGUAUUUUGAAGCACAAAUAAACUUGAUAAAAUUAAACUUGGUAUCAUUGUGGCUGUUCGAGUGAGCCUUAGAAACACUUAAGGACCGUUCCAGAAUAACACUUGAACUGCAGAAUCAGACUUUUUCUAGUGACCGACUAAAAACUGACUUGUCACUUAAAGCAUAGGUUAACAUUGCCUAACACCUCAACCAUCCAGUGGUGAUGGACUGGAGGGCACAGGUUUCUUCCAGAACACCUGGCUUCAAUUCCCAGUACCCACGUGGUGCUCCUGACCAUCUGUAACGGUGGUCCUAAGGAUCCUAUACCCUUUUGCAGACAUAGGUACCAGGCGUGUGAUAGCUACAUGCUAUAUAAUAUUAAUAUAUAUAUAUAUAUAUAUGUAUGUAUA
Rattus norvegicus (Norway rat) is the source of this 1097-nucleotide long non-coding RNA. Lineage: Eukaryota; Metazoa; Chordata; Mammalia; Rodentia; Muridae. The record is from Ensembl.